AUGGGCGAGGUGGUGCUCAUCUCCCGCCCCGGCGAUGGCUGCGGGGGAAGCGGGGGCGUGGGGGAGUGGAAGGCGGACCAGGAGGAGCGGCAGGGGCAGGUGCUGGAGCUGCUGCUCACGGUGCUGCGCAAGUCGGUGGCGUUGCCGUGCCAGAUGGCGGACGCCGACGACCCAGCCGCCGGCGCGGGGGGCUAUGGGAUGGACAUCGGUUGGCCCACCGACGUCCACCACGUCGCGCAUGUCACCUUCGACCGCCUCCCGGGCUUCCUUGGCCUCCCCGUCGAGUUCGAGCUCCAGAUCCCCUGCCCAGCCCCCAGCGCCAGUGCCAGCGUGUUCGGGGUGUCGCCGGAGUCGAUGCAGUGCGGCUACAACGACAGGGGCAACUUGGUGCCCAAGAUCCUCCUGCUCAUGCAGGAGCGGCUCUACUCCCAGGAUGGCCUCAAGAUAGAGUCAACAAAGAUGGGUUUGGGAACUCAAAAAACCUGCAGUAGCAGUGUUGAUGAUGCUCCAAUUUCAGAGAAAGGUAAUAACAUGUUCAGUGCUCUGAAGGUUCCAGAGUCAUAA
RNAcentral lists this ribosomal RNA (564 nucleotides) under Triticum aestivum (bread wheat). Its description in RNAcentral is "partial small subunit ribosomal RNA". The record is from RNAcentral. Lineage: Eukaryota; Viridiplantae; Streptophyta; Magnoliopsida; Poales; Poaceae.